GUAAAACGUACAACUUGACAAUUUACAGAAGAAUGAAUAAAUUGAAACUUAAUCCCCUGUUACAGAUAAGUUGCACCGAAAAGCUCGAGAUGUAAAAUUCAGCUUUUGCGGAGGUCAUGUAUAUAUUUGUCAUAAUAAUACAUAGGCUUGCUCGCUUAUGGAUUUCUGUUGCAGCAGUCACCAUUCUGGAGGGCUUGGUCGUCACUUGCUUGUAGCUGUAUCACCAGAUCUCAACUCCUUUUCAAGCUCAUCAAACUCCCAGUCACCAAUCUCUUCUGAUCUCUUCUGUUGAGUAAUCCCGAGCAUCCUUCCCAAACUCUGACUCCAGCUUUGCUAGUUCAGCUGCAGGAUCAAGCAUCUGAUGUUCCUCAACUGCAGGUGCUUUGGGU
This 389-nucleotide unclassified non-coding RNA is filed under the name Hevea brasiliensis (rubber tree). The record is from RNAcentral. Lineage: Eukaryota; Viridiplantae; Streptophyta; Magnoliopsida; Malpighiales; Euphorbiaceae.